UACGUAGGGGGCAAGCGUUGUCCGGAAUUAUUGGGCGUAAAGCGCGCGCAGGCGGUCUGUUAAGUCUGGUGUUUAAUCCCGGGGCUCAACCCCGGUUCGCAUCGGAAACUGGCAGACUUGAGUGCAGGAGAGGAAAGCGGAAUUCCACGUGUAGCGGUGAAAUGCGUAGAGAUGUGGAGGAACACCAGUGGCGAAGGCGGCUUUCUGGACUGUAACUGACGCUGAGGCGCGAAAGCGUGGGGAGCAAACAGG
Molecule: unclassified non-coding RNA, 252 nt
Filed under: uncultured Paenibacillaceae bacterium
Lineage: Bacteria; Bacillati; Bacillota; Bacilli; Caryophanales; Paenibacillaceae
Description: contains 16S-23S intergenic spacer region
Rfam family: Bacterial small subunit ribosomal RNA
Source: RNAcentral